This 274-nucleotide ribosomal RNA is filed under the name uncultured bacterium. RNAcentral describes it as "partial 16S ribosomal RNA". It matches the Rfam family "Bacterial small subunit ribosomal RNA", at positions 523 to 796 of the family's 1533-position model. The record is from RNAcentral.
AGACGAACCGGACAAACGUUAUUCGGAAUCAUUGGGCUUAAAGGGUGCGUAGGCGGUGCGGAAAGUUGGGUGUGAAAUCCCUCGGCUCAACCGAGGAACUGCGCUCAAACCUUCCGUGCUAGAGUGAGACAGAGGUGAGCGGAACUGAUGGUGGAGCGGUGAAAUGCGUUGAUAUCAUCAGGAACACCGGUGGCGAAGGCGGCUCACUGGGUCUCUACUGACGCUGAGGCACGAAAGCUAAGGUAGCGAACAGGAUUAGAAACCCCAGUAGUCC